AGCGAACGCUGGCGGCGUGCCUAACACAUGCAAGUCGAACGUGAAAGGGAGCAAUCCCAAGUAAAGUGGCGUACGGGUGAGUAACACGUAGGUAAUCUACCCCAGAAUCUGGAAUAACCGGCCGAAAGGCUGGCUAAUACUGGAUAGAGCGACGGAAUCCGUAAUUGGGUUUUUCGGGAAAGGGAGCCUGUAAAAAGGCCUUCGUUCUGGGAUGAGCCUGCGUCCCAUCAGCUAGUUGGUGAGGUAAAAGCUUACCAAGGCAAUGACGGGUAGCUGGUCUGAGAGGACGAUCAGCCACACUGGAACUGAAACACGGUCCAGACUCCUACGGGAGGCAGCAGUGGGGAAUCUUGCGCAAUAGACGAAAGUCUGACGCAGCAACGCCGCGUGAGUGAAGAAGGCCGUCGGGUUGUAAAGCUCUGUCGAGUGGGACGAAAAUGCCUGGAGUUCACAGCUCCAGGAACUGACGGUACCACUAAAGGAAGCACCGGCUAACUCCGUG
RNAcentral lists this ribosomal RNA (502 nucleotides) under uncultured bacterium. RNAcentral's name for it is "partial 16S ribosomal RNA". It matches the Rfam family "Bacterial small subunit ribosomal RNA", at positions 29 to 507 of the family's 1533-position model. The record is from RNAcentral.